CGGUUAACGGAAAAAAAUCGACAUCUUUUGCUUUUUUACUAGCUACUGAUGCUGAUAAAACAGCUGUAUCGCCGUAACGAAUCAAUGCUGCCCCGCUUGCUUGUUUAGCUAAUUGACCGACUUCGACAGUUAAUGUCCGGCCAGCCCACUCUUUAGUAAAUACUUGUUUCUUUGUCAUAUAUUGUUGUUCUCCUUUUUCUAUCAAACUACGCUCAUUUUUCCACACAGACUACUAAACAAAUGUCAGCCUUUAAAGAAUUAAACACUCACAUUUGUAUAGUAGGAUGGUUGAUGAUGCGCAUUCGUUUGGCAUUUUUAUACAAAAAAUGAAGCGAGAUUCCUUCGAACCUCGCUUCUUA
The sequence is an antisense RNA, 359 nucleotides long. The stretch from base 1 to 294 matches the Rfam family "Listeria sRNA rliD".